This 490-nucleotide ribosomal RNA is filed under the name uncultured bacterium. RNAcentral describes it as "partial 16S ribosomal RNA". It matches the Rfam family "Bacterial small subunit ribosomal RNA", at positions 30 to 507 of the family's 1533-position model. The record is from RNAcentral.
AUUGAACGCUGGCGGCAUGCCUUACACAUGCAAGUCGAACGGCAGCAUGAUCUAGCUUGCUAGAUUGAUGGCGAGUGGCGAACGGGUGAGUAAUACAUCGGAACGUGCCCUGUAGUGGGGGAUAACUAGUCGAAAGAUUAGCUAAUACCGCAUACGACCUGAGGGUGAAAGUGGGGGACCGCAAGGCCUCAUGCUAUAGGAGCGCCCGAUGUCUGAUUAGCUAGUUGGUGAGGUAAAGGCUCACCAAGGCGACGAUCAGUAGCUGGUCUGAGAGGACGAUCAGCCACACUGGGACUGAGACACGGCCCAGACUCCUACGGGAGGCAGCAGUGGGGAAUUUUGGACAAUGGGCGAAAGCCUGAUCCAGCAAUGCCGCGUGUGUGAAGAAGGCCUUCGGGUUGUAAAGCACUUUUGUCCGGAAAGAAAUGGCUCUGGUUAAUACCUGGGGUCGAUGACGGUACCGGAAGAAUAAGGACCGGCUAACUACGUG